UUAGAAAAACAGGAAUCGAACCUGCACUAAGAGAUCAAAACCCUCCAUACUCCCCUUAUAUUAUUUUCU
This 69-nucleotide transfer RNA is filed under the name Zosterops japonicus (Japanese white-eye). Its description in RNAcentral is "tRNA-Gln". Lineage: Eukaryota; Metazoa; Chordata; Aves; Passeriformes; Zosteropidae. The record is from RNAcentral.